RNAcentral lists this ribosomal RNA (551 nucleotides) under uncultured bacterium. Its description in RNAcentral is "partial 16S ribosomal RNA". It matches the Rfam family "Bacterial small subunit ribosomal RNA", at positions 355 to 914 of the family's 1533-position model. The record is from RNAcentral.
UGGGGAAUAUUGCACAAUGGGCGAAAGCCUGAUGCAGCAACGCCGCGUGAGGGACGACGGCCUUCGGGUUGUAAACCUCUUUUAGCAAGGAAGAAGCGAAAGUGACGGUACUUGCAGAAAAAGCGCCGGCUAACUACGUGCCAGCAGCCGCGGUAAUACGUAGGGCGCAAGCGUUAUCCGGAAUUAUUGGGCGUAAAGAGCUCGUAGGCGGUUUGUCGCGUCUGCUGUGAAAACCCGAGGCUCAACCUCGGGCCUGCAGUGGGUACGGGCAGACUAGAGUGCGGUAGGGGAGAUUGGAACUCCUGGUGUAGCGGUGGAAUGCGCAGAUAUCAGGAAGAACACCGAUGGCGAAGGCAGAUCUCUGGGCCGUAACUGACGCUGAGGAGCGAAAGGGUGGAGAGCAAACAGGCUUAGAUACCCUGGUAGUCCACCCCGUAAACGUUGGGAACUAAGUUGUGGGGUCCAUUCCACGGAUUCCGUGACGCAGCUAACGCAUUAAGUUCCCCGCCUGGGGAGUACGGCCGCAAGGCUAAAACUUGAAAGGAAUUGAC